GCAGCCAUGGCGGAAUUGGUAGACGCGCGAGAUUAAGGAUCUCGUCGGGAUUUUUCCCGAUGGAAGUUCGAGUCUUCUUGGCUGCA
This 86-nucleotide transfer RNA is filed under the name Acetilactobacillus jinshanensis. RNAcentral describes it as "Lactobacillus jinshani tRNA-Leu". It matches the Rfam family "tRNA". From Rfam's summary of the family: Transfer RNA (tRNA) molecules are approximately 80 nucleotides in length. Their secondary structure includes four short double-helical elements and three loops (D, anti-codon, and T loops). The record is from RNAcentral. RNAcentral also lists the same sequence under 1 other name. Lineage: Bacteria; Bacillati; Bacillota; Bacilli; Lactobacillales; Lactobacillaceae.